This 474-nucleotide ribosomal RNA is filed under the name uncultured bacterium. RNAcentral describes it as "partial 16S ribosomal RNA". It matches the Rfam family "Bacterial small subunit ribosomal RNA", at positions 29 to 523 of the family's 1533-position model. The record is from RNAcentral.
AGCGAACAUUGGCGGUAGGCUUAACACAUGCAAGUCGAGCGAGGCUACGAGCCGAGCGGCGAACGGGUGAGUAAUACGUUGGAAUCUGCCCUGGAGUGGGGAAUAACCAGCAGAAAUGCUGGCUAAUGCCGCAUAAUCCAUAUUGGGAAAGCGCUUAGCGCUCUAGGAUGAGCCAACGGCUGAUUAGCUAGUUGGUGGGGUAACGGCCCACCAAGGCAACGAUCGGUAACUGGUCUGAGAGGAUGAUCAGUCACACUGGAACUGAGACACGGUCCAGCACCCUACGGGAGGCAGAAGGUGGGAAUCUUGCGCAAUGGGGGCAACCCUGACGCAGCCAUGCCGCGUGUGUGAAGAAGGCCUUAUGGUUGUAAAGCACUUUAAGCGAGGAGGAGGCUCUUUUGGUUAAUACCCAAGAUGAGUGGACGUUACUCGCAGAAUAAGCACCGGCUAACUCUGUGCCAGCAGCCGCCGUAA